UGGGGAAUAUUGCACAAUGGGCGCAAGCCUGAUGCAGCCAUGCCGCGUGUAUGAAGAAGGCCUUCGGGUUGUAAAGUACUUUCAGCGGGGAGGAAGGCGAUAAGGUUAAUAACCUUGUCGAUUGGCGUUACCCGCAGAAGAAGCACCGGCUAACUCCGUGCCAGCAGCCGCGGUAAUACGGAGGGCGCAAGCGUUAAUCGGAAUUACUGGGCGUAAAGCGCACGCAGGCGGUCUGUCAAGUCGGAUGUGAAAUCCCCGGGCUCAACCUGGGAACUGCAUUCGAAACUGGCAGGCUAGAGUCUUGUAGAGGGGGGUAGAAUUCCAGGUGUAGCGGUGAAAUGCGUAGAGAUCUGGAGGAAUACCGGUGGCGAAGGCGGCCCCCUGGACAAAGACUGACGCUCAGGUGCGAAAGCGUGGGGAGCAAACA
Molecule: ribosomal RNA, 427 nt
Filed under: uncultured bacterium
Lineage: Bacteria
Description: partial 16S ribosomal RNA
Rfam family: Bacterial small subunit ribosomal RNA
Source: RNAcentral